This 270-nucleotide long non-coding RNA is filed under the name Musa acuminata (dwarf banana). RNAcentral's name for it is "long non-coding RNA (MACU_LNC004084)". The record is from RNAcentral. Lineage: Eukaryota; Viridiplantae; Streptophyta; Magnoliopsida; Zingiberales; Musaceae.
CUCCUCUCACCAAUCCUAACAACACCCUUCUUUGCUAAGGGCAGGAGUUGAUUCUGACAAAGAUGAAGUUGGACGAUAAAGUUGUUGAUUUUAUGAUGGUUCUGUGUUGUAGAAUUCUAUCAUAAGUUGGUUGAAAGAAGAGUAAUCCUUACUUGUUGAUCUCAGUUGUUGUCGGAGAAGGAUUAUCGAGGCUUUCUUCCCUUUCUCAUCUUCUUCUUAUACUGCUUGCUCUUGGCCAAAAAGUUGUCUGAGAUUAGAUAGCUAAGAAGC